This 2304-nucleotide ribosomal RNA is filed under the name Triticum aestivum (bread wheat). RNAcentral's name for it is "partial small subunit ribosomal RNA". The record is from RNAcentral. Lineage: Eukaryota; Viridiplantae; Streptophyta; Magnoliopsida; Poales; Poaceae.
AUGGUGCAGAGGUACCCACAGAACAAGAACAAAGGGAAGAACAAACCUGUUUUCAACAAGCCUACCAAGACUACUACCUUCAAGAAGAAGAAGUUCAACAAGGCUGAGCUAGAGUGCUACGUCGCAAGGGAUUCUUCCGUCCUAAUGGGGAAUGGGUCACAUGCUUCUGUUCGUGGCAUUGGCACGGUGGAUCUGAAGUUUACUUCGGGAAAAAUCGUGCAACUAAGGAACGUGCAGCAUGUCCCUACUAUGAACAAGAAUCUAGUUAGCGGCUCCCUUCUAUGUCGAGAUGGAUUUAAGGUAGUUUUAGAGUCCAAUAAAGUAAUCGUGUCAAGAUUUGGACAAUUUAUAGGAAAAGGCUAUGAGUGCGGAGGCUUGUUCCGCUUUUCUCUUUCAGAUUUUUGCAAUAAGUCAAUAAACCAAAUUUGUGCUAAUGUUAAUGAUGAUGCAAGUAUUUGGCACUCUCGUUUAUGUCAUAUUAAUUUUGGUUUAAUGUCUCGGCUAUCCAGCAUGAGUUUAAUUCCAAACUUCACAGUUGCCAAAGGUUCUAAGUGCCAUAGUUGUGUGCAAUCUAAGCAACCUCGAAAGCCUCAUAAGGCUGCCGAGGAGAGAAACUUGGCACCUCUAGAACUCAUACAUUCUGAUCUUUGUGAGAUGAAUGGUGUGUUGACAAAAGGUGGAAAGAGAUAUUUCAUGACUUUGAUUGAUGAUGCGACUAGAUUUUGCUAUGUUUAUUUGUUGCAAACUAAAGAUGAAGCAUUAGACUACUUUAAAAUCUAUAAAGCUGAAGUUGAAAAUCAACUAGAGAGAAAGAUCAAGCGUCUUAGGUCCGAUCGUGGUGGAGAGUAUUUUUCAAAAGUUUUUGAUGAAUUUUGUGAGGAACAUGGUAUUAUUCAUAAGAGGACGCCUCCCUAUUCACCUCAAUCAAAUGGAGUGGCCGAGAGGAAAAACCGCACAUUGACUGACUUGGUGAAUACCAUGUUAGACAUUGCUGGUUUAUCUAAGGCAUGGUGGGGGGAGGCUCUAUUGACUUCAUGUCAUGUCCUGAAUAGAGUUCCCAACAAUAAUAAAGAGAAAACCCCUUAUGAGGAGUGGGUUGGGAGAAAACCAUCACUUUCUUAUUUGCGCACUUGGGGAUGUUUGGCAAAGGUCAAUAUUCCUAUUCCUAAGAAACGCAAACUUGGACCAAAGACAGUGGAUUGUGUCUUUCUAGGGUAUGCUCAACGGAGCAUUGCUUAUAGGUUUUUAGUGGUAAAAUCUGAAGUACCUGAUAUGCAUGUUGAUACUAUAAUGGAAUCUCGUGAUGCAACAUUUUUUGAGAACAUAUUUCCUAUGAAAGAUAUGCAUAGCAUUGCUAGAUUUUCUUCUGAGAUAAUUCCUGAAUCCAGUACAACUGAUGAACAUUUCGAACAAUCACAUGAGGAAGUCCUUGAGAAGGAUAACAAUGAAGUUCCUAGAAGGAACAAGAGACAAAGGAUUGCAAAAUCCUUUGGUGAUGAUUUCAUUGUAUACCUUGUGGACGACACACCCAAGACGAUUGCAGAAGCAUAUGCAUCUCCGGAUGUAGAUGAUUGGAAAGAAGCUGUUCAUAAUGAGAUGGACUCAAUUCUUUCUAAUGGAACUUGGGAACUAACUGAUAGACCAUAUGGUUGUAAACCUGUGGGCUGUAAGUGGGUGUUCAAAAAGAAGCUAAAGCCUGAUGGUACUAUUGAUAAGUACAAGGCGCGGCUAGUGGCCAAGGGCUACACUCAGAAAGAAGGCGAAGAUUACUUUGACACCUAUUCACCCGUUGCUAGAAUGACCACCAUUCGACUGUUACUUUCCUUGGCUGCCUCUUAUGGUAUUAUCAUUCAUCAAAUGGAUGUAAAGACAGCUUUUCUCAAUGGAGAGUUGGAAGAGGAGAUCUAUAUGGAUCAGCCUGACGGGUUUGUGGUAAAGGGUGAAGAGAGAAAGGUGUGCAAGUUGUUAAAAUCUUUGUAUGGUCUGAAACAGGCACCUAAGCAAUGGCAUGAGAAGUUUGAAAGAACUCUGACUUCUGCAGGAUUUGUCAUUAACGAGGCUGAUAGGUGUGUUUACUAUCGCCAUGGUGGGGGCAAUAGUGUCAUAUUAUGUUUGUAUGUGGACGACAUACUGAUCUUUGGUACAAACAUUAAUGCAAUUAAUGAGGUCAAGUCUUUUCUAUCGAAAAGUUUUGACAUGAAAGAUCUGGGAGAAGCCGAUGUAAUUCUAAACAUCAAACUUAUUAAGGAUGAGAGUGGGAUUACAUUAACGCAAUCUCACUAUGUUGAGAAGGUCUUGAACUGA